RNAcentral lists this ribosomal RNA (1094 nucleotides) under Halocryptovalsa avicenniae. RNAcentral describes it as "bacterial SSU rRNA". It matches the Rfam family "Eukaryotic small subunit ribosomal RNA", at positions 71 to 1106 of the family's 1831-position model. Lineage: Eukaryota; Fungi; Ascomycota; Sordariomycetes; Xylariales; Diatrypaceae. The record is from RNAcentral.
GCAUUAUACCGCGAAACUGCGAAUGGCUCAUUAAAUCAGUUAUCGUUUAUUUGAUAGUACCUUACUACUUGGAUAACCGUGGUAAUUCUAGAGCUAAUACAUGCUAAAAAUCCCGACUUACGAAGGGAUGUAUUUAUUAGAUUAAAAACCAAUGCCCUUCGGGGCUCUUUGGUGAUUCAUAAUAACUUCUCGAAUCGCAUGGCCUUGUGCCGGCGAUGGUUCAUUCAAAUUUCUGCCCUAUCAACUUUCGAUGGCAGGGUCUUGGCCUGCCAUGGUUACAACGGGUAACGGAGGGUUAGGGCUCGACCCCGGAGAAGGAGCCUGAGAAACGGCUACUACAUCCAAGGAAGGCAGCAGGCGCGCAAAUUACCCAAUCCCGAUUCGGGGAGGCAAGUAAACCCCUUUCUUCGACCAUGUAAACAAAAGAAACUCAUGCUAACAUAUUUCCGCUUUAUAGGUAGUGACAAUAAAUACUGAUACAGGGCUCUUUCGGGUCUUGUAAUUGGAAUGAGUACAAUUUAAAUCCCUUAACGAGGAACAAUUGGAGGGCAAGUCUGGUGCCAGCAGCCGCGGUAAUUCCAGCUCCAAUAGCGUAUAUUAAAGUUGUUGCAGUUAAAAAGCUCGUAGUUGAACCUUGGGCCUGGCUGGCCGGUCCGCCUCACCGCGUGCACUGGUUCGGCCGGGCCUUUCCCUCUGGGGAUCCCCAUGCCCUUCACUGGGUGUGGCGGGGAACCAGGACUUUUACUGUGAAAAAAUUAGAGUGUUCAAAGCAGGCCUAUGCUCGAAUACAUUAGCAUGGAAUAAUAAAAUAGGACGUGCGGUUCUAUUUUGUUGGUUUCUAGGACCGCCGUAAUGAUUAAUAGGGACAGUCGGGGGCAUCAGUAUUCAAUUGUCAGAGGUGAAAUUCUUGGAUUUAUUGAAGACUAACUACUGCGAAAGCAUUUGCCAAGGAUGUUUUCAUUAAUCAGGAACGAAAGUUAGGGGAUCGAAGACGAUCAGAUACCGUCGUAGUCUUAACCAUAAACUAUGCCGACUAGGGAUCGGAACGAUGUUAUUUAUUGACUCGUUCGGCACCUUACGAGAAAUCAAAGUCU